UAUUAUUAUUACCAAACGUAACUGACCCUCCUUCCUUUUUAAUGAAGGAGAGAAAACACCUUUUAUCUCCUGUCAUGUGUUUUGAACAGCCACUGUCCAAAAACCAUGGCUUUUUCUUUGCACCUUGAUAGUAUCCCUGCAUUUUGAAAUUUUUGUUUAGGUGUCCAUAAUGACUUGGGUCCUUGAGGGUUAGUUUUCACAAUUUGUUUAUUUUUAAAAUAGCAUUCUUU
RNAcentral lists this long non-coding RNA (230 nucleotides) under Trifolium pratense (red clover). RNAcentral describes it as "long non-coding RNA (TPRA_LNC007929)". Lineage: Eukaryota; Viridiplantae; Streptophyta; Magnoliopsida; Fabales; Fabaceae. The record is from RNAcentral.